GCCACCUUCUCCCCGGCUGGAGCCCGGCGCCGUCCCGCCCCCCACCUUCUCCCCGGCUGGCUCCUGGCGCCGCCCCUCCCCCACCUUCUUCCCGUCUGGCUCCCGGCGCCGCCCCUGCUUCCACCCACCAUCGCCGCCACGCCCCUGCUUCCGGCUGCCAUCGCCGCCACGCCCCUGCUUCCAGUCGCCGCCACUGCUGCCCCUCUGCCUUCUUCCAUGGCGGACCAACCCUGUUGCCGUGCCACAUGGUCAAGGUCGCGUAGGAGAAGCUGUCCCUGGCCCAGCCGAUGUGGCCCGGCACCCGGAACGACAUUCUCGCAAAUUGAAGGCUGAUCUAGAGGCGUUGAAGAGGGAAUGUUCUGAGAAAUCGAAGCAACAGACUGAGCUAGCACUUGAACUGUUUGCUGCACAUGCUGAGCGGGAUUCCUACAGGCACGAAAUUGAAGAAUUGAAGUCAUCACGGCAAGAGUCAUCUCGGCAAGAGUCAUUUCAGCCAGAGUUAAGCAGACGGCAAAUAAAAUCUGUAACCCCCAAACGUGGGGACUGGAUCAACAUGGAGAAGGAAGUAGAAGACGAGAUGAAGUUUCUGAAAGAAUCAAAUGCAAGCUUACAGGUACAUUUGAAGAGCACUCAAGAGGCAAAUAUAGAGCUUGACCACCGCCGUGCCCCUGCGCCCUAACCAUCGCCGAUGUCCAACGCCAUGGUGCCUCCCAUGGCGGCCGUUCACUGCCGCCUCCCUGGGCUGCUCAACAACACAGCGCCGAGUCAUUCAACGCUGCAGCUCUACCGCCAUUAGCAACUCUGACUUUCAUGGUGUGGUUCCGGAGGUUCAGGGCUCCUUUGAUUCAAAGGAAUUGCAUAGGAUUUUUAGAGGAUUUGAACCCUUAGGAAAUUUUUCUUCUAAUGCUUGUUUGAUUCGUAGGAUUGGCAUCCUUAGGAAUUUUUCCAUAGUAUCCAUUUGUACUACAUUUUGAAGGAAAAUUUCCAUCCACUCAAACCUAUUUAUAGAAUUCCUUUGUUUUUCCUGCGCUAUCAAACAUUCUUUCAAAUCCUGUAGGAUACUAUAGGACAUGCCAUCCUAUUCCUACAUUUUUCCUAUUCCUUCAUUUUGACAAUCCUGCGAAUCAAAGAGGCCCUCAGUUUUUUCAGUGUAUGUUUUGUACACUUUUUAGUUCACCUACUUAACGAAUGCAUGUCUAGUUUCCUCUCUAUUUCCCCAUGUCAAUUGCUGAAAAUAUUAUCAAUCACGUCCCCCUCAGUCCAAGUAUGUUAGCCGCAUGAGAUAAAAAAAUCAGCUGCUUUUAACUGAAUAAAAUGUCACACAAGUUCAGUUAUAUCUGUUACAGGAGUUCAAAAAUCUGAAGAAACAAAGCUCAAACCAAGUUAAAAAAUUGUUUUCCUUCAUAAAUUAGUUGUUUUUUGGUUAAUUCACUGUUAUGGACAGUACAAAUACACACUGUUGUGUAGUACAUGUGUGUAUUGUAAUUGUGGUUUGGAGCUCAGAAAAAAGAUAACAAAAAGGUUCAUAGAAUAACCCAAAACAUUCGGUAGUUUUGUAAGCCCAAAUUUGAGUUCAACAUGUUUUCUAACAUCAUCUCAUUAAGAACCCCAGAAACGGUUCAAUGUGUGUGUUCAAAAAAAUAGUGUGGAUAUAUAUAAAAAAAUUAGUAGCUCGGCAAAAAUAAGUUUAACCGAUUCAGUGCAAGUUUUGCUUCUGAAAACUGGCAUUGUUCAUCAUGUACUGAUCCAUUUGAACUAUGGAUGUGUUUGAAAAAAUGGAUGUUCAGCAUGUACUGAAAAUGCCUUUAAAAAAUGAGUAAAUAGCAUCAGUGAGUUCUAGUACCUAUAUUGCAAAAGUUCAUUGACAAAAGAAAUAUCAGUACCUAUAUUGCAUAAGUUCAUUGACAAAAGAAAUAUCAGUACCUAUAUUGCAAAAGUUCAUUGACAAAAGAAAUGCAUGUCUAGUUUCAACUUUUUUUAACCUUUUUGUCUCUAAAUUCUGCAUCUUUUUUUUUGUUUACAGACUAUACACAUGAUACUUGUACUGGGACUAGAGUACAAGUAUUACUUCCAUGCAUGUUCAAUUGAAAAAACACUUUAAGUUUCAGGAAUUGAAGAAUUCUUUUAGGAAGAAAUAGCCUUUUGAGCUACUGUUGAUGGCUGGCAUUUGUGCCCCGAAGUACGAGUUUGGAAGGGCGGGAAGUUCUAUUGCUGGCAAAACAUACACUUUGUACAAAAGAAGGUGGUGGAAAACCAAUAAGUGCUACUACUGGUGUACACCAAGUUCAAGGAUUUUGCCAUGCUCGAGCAUCCACUGGCUCCGACCUCCACCCGCUGCCGCGCGCCUGGGAUCCGCAACCUCCAACCUCUCGUGGGCCUCAGCUGGUUUCUCUGUCCCGAAUGCCGCCGCGGGCCUCCCUGCAGGAUGGCUUCGGUUCCCUCUCCAGAUGCGUCUAUGCCAACCAUCUCUACAGGCUACCCUAUUCCUUCGCUGGACUACUCCUUCCACCAGCAGCCCCCCUAGCAAACCGCAUGUCUCAUAUUUGUUCUUAUUUUCUUGCAGGAUGCAUCAAAAAGCCAGAUUCACAAAUUCAUCUCCUAUAUGCUUUUCAGUUCAUGGACUUCCCAUUGAUAAAUACACUAGUUAGGAUCUUCAUUGCUGGAUCCUGUCGUCGGUGUCGAUAGCGUCCACGAGCACCAACACCUCACAUCCGGCAGUAAAAAGGACCGGAGGGAGUACUAGAUGUUCUUGUACUAAUGCUCAACAGUAAGUCCAUGUAUUACUACAUGAGAAGUAAAAAAAUUACUGCUAGUGAGAGUUCAUUUAAAUCACGAUGUCUGAAUCGAGGUUAGCCCCUGCCACCAUGCUCCUACACGGCCGGGUGGUCAUGAUGAUUAGCAGUACAUACACAAAACACCAAUGUUUGCUUGAUGGCCAUUCCUGAUCUACAUACUUACGUAAGAUGCAUACAUCUAUGCACGUGUAUUGAUGAAUUGGUUUACUAGUAGAACCUUGUAAAGAUAUUCCCACUUUAUUGUAUACACGUAGAUUUUUGAAAUUAGUGUCUGCUGAUGUGGCUCAUAUGCUUGAACUUACAUCUAUCAAAAAAUGACAUGUUAAUUUCAUGCACGGCCGCCGCGGUUUGCUUGCAUGUGUAGGAGUAAUAUGUAGUUGCAGAUUAGCUAUUACUCUCACUCGGCAUGGUUUGGAGGAGUGCUACCUAGUUGCACAUUGUAUCAGGUGUUUCUUUUACUGCUCUGCUGCUGAUUCUUGGACACAGUAUACUUUCUCAUAUGUUUCAUUAAAUAGAGCACAUGAAACCUAAGUCAGUACUUAGUAAUGUCAAUUUUGUGAUGCAUUUUCUUUCCGUUUAGGACCUGCACGAGUUUCGGCCAAGGAACCAUCAUCGGGAAGCAGGGUGUCCCCUGAGUUCUGUGCAACAACGGUCAUUGAACUCGGUAAGCCUUGCACAGAUAGCAUGUGCAAUGAUGAAUGCAUGAAGAUCUUUCCAGGUCCUGGCGACUGUGAGAAAGGCAAGUGCUUAUGCGGCUUUUGCUAAAGAAGAAAGGCCUAGCUUAACUGGCGUAGGAGUACUCAAAUCAGGUGUCGAUGUUGUGGAGGCUUUGGAUCUUUCCCUAGUUAUGGUGUACAUGAAUAAUAGUUCACAUGGAUAAAAUUUUUAGCUAUGGUGUAGCGGCUCAACAUGUAUUAUAUCAUCAAUGCAUAAAGAAACACGUACAAAGUUCAAUAUGUGUAUAGAGAAAUUUGAUACCAGUUCAAAGAAAAACAUAGCAUCAGUACUCAAUAUGUGUAUAAAGAAACAUCUACAAAGUUCUGUACAAGAAUAGGGCGAUGGUUUUUGUGUUGA
Molecule: RNA transcript, 3869 nt
Organism: Triticum dicoccoides
Lineage: Eukaryota; Viridiplantae; Streptophyta; Magnoliopsida; Poales; Poaceae
Exons: 5
Source: RefSeq, a predicted model, not a curated record